CACCGCGGUUAUACGAGAGGCCCAAGUUGUUAGUUACCGGCGUAAAGCGUGGUUAAAAAUAAUUACUUACUAAAGCCGAAAGCCUUCAAAGCUGUUAUACGCAUCCGAAGUUAAAAAGACCAAUAACGAAAGUAGCUUUAUUUAUUUUGAACCCACGAAAGCCAUGGCA
This 169-nucleotide ribosomal RNA is filed under the name Lactoria diaphana (roundbelly cowfish). RNAcentral describes it as "partial 12S rRNA". The record is from RNAcentral. Lineage: Eukaryota; Metazoa; Chordata; Actinopteri; Tetraodontiformes; Ostraciidae.